AGAAGAUAGUUUAGUUUAGAAUUCUGGCUUUGGGAGCCAGGGGUGGGAGUUAGAAUCUCCCUUUUCUGG
RNAcentral lists this transfer RNA (69 nucleotides) under Rhinichthys cataractae (longnose dace). RNAcentral describes it as "tRNA-Pro". It matches the Rfam family "tRNA". From Rfam's summary of the family: Transfer RNA (tRNA) molecules are approximately 80 nucleotides in length. Their secondary structure includes four short double-helical elements and three loops (D, anti-codon, and T loops). Further hydrogen bonds mediate the characteristic L-shaped molecular structure. tRNAs have two regions of fundamental functional importance: the anti-codon, which is responsible for specific mRNA codon recognition, and the 3' end, to which the tRNAs corresponding amino acid is attached (by aminoacyl-tRNA synthetases). tRNAs cope with the degeneracy of the genetic code in two manners: having more than one tRNA (with a specific anti-codon) for a particular amino acid; and 'wobble' base-pairing, i.e. permitting non-standard base-pairing at the 3rd anti-codon position. The record is from RNAcentral. Lineage: Eukaryota; Metazoa; Chordata; Actinopteri; Cypriniformes; Leuciscidae.